RNAcentral lists this ribosomal RNA (440 nucleotides) under uncultured bacterium. RNAcentral's name for it is "SSU rRNA". It matches the Rfam family "Bacterial small subunit ribosomal RNA", at positions 26 to 518 of the family's 1533-position model. The record is from RNAcentral.
AGAGCGAACGCUGGCGGCAGGCCUAACACAUGCAAGUCGAGCGCCCCGCAAGGGGAGCGGCAGACGGGAGAGUAACACGUGGGAACGUACCCUUUGGUUCGGAACAACCCAGGGAAACUUGGGCUAAUACCGAAUAAGCCCUUACGGGGAAAGAUUUAUCGCCAAAGGAUCGGCCCGCGUCUGAUUAGCUAGUUGGUGAGGUAACGGCUCACCAAGGCGACGAUCAGUAGCUGGUCUGAGAGGAUGAUCAGCCUCACUGGGACUGAGACACGGCCCAGACUCCUACGGGAGGCAGCAGUGGGGAAUAUUGGACAAUGGGCGCAAGCCUGAUCCAGCCAUGCCGCGUGGGUGAUGAGCCCUAGGGUUGUAAAGCCCUUUCGGCGGGAAGAUAAUGACGGUACCCGCAGAAGAAGCCCGGCUAACUUCGUGCCAGCAGCCGC